GACGAACGCUGGCGGCGUGCCUAAUACAUGCAAGUAGAACGCUGAAGAGAGGAGCUUGCUCUUCUUGGGUUAGCUGCGAACGGGUGAGUAACGCGUAGGUAACCUGCCUUUUAGCGGGGGAUAACUACUGGAAACGAUAGCUAAUACCGCAUAAUAAUGGCUGACACAUGGCGUUUAUGUGAAAGGGGCCAUUGCUCCACUAAAAGGUGGACUUCGGUUGUAUUAGUCAGUAGGUGAGGUAACGGCUCACCUAGGGGACGGUACAUAGCCGGACUGAAAGGGUGGUCGGGCCAACCUGGAACGGGACAACGGCCAAGCUCCCAAGGGGGGGAGCCGUAGGGGAUCUUCGGCAAUGGGGCGAAAGCCUGCCGAGCAACGCCCCGGGGGUGAAGAAGGGUUUCGGAUCGGUAAACCCCGUUUUUAGGCAAGAACGAGUGUGAGAGUGGAAAGUUCACGCUGUGACGGUACCUAAACAGAAAGCGACGGCUAACUACGUG
RNAcentral lists this ribosomal RNA (497 nucleotides) under uncultured bacterium. RNAcentral describes it as "partial 16S ribosomal RNA". It matches the Rfam family "Bacterial small subunit ribosomal RNA", at positions 28 to 507 of the family's 1533-position model. The record is from RNAcentral.